This 251-nucleotide ribosomal RNA is filed under the name uncultured bacterium. RNAcentral's name for it is "partial 16S ribosomal RNA". It matches the Rfam family "Bacterial small subunit ribosomal RNA", at positions 525 to 775 of the family's 1533-position model. RNAcentral also lists the same sequence under 1 other name. The record is from RNAcentral.
ACGUAGGGAGCGAGCGUUGUCCGGAAUGACUGGGUGUAAAGGGAGCGUAGGCGGGAUGGCAAGUCAGAUGUGAAACCUGAGGGCUCAACCUUCAGACUGCAUUUGAAACUGCUGUUCUUGAGUGAAGUAGAGGUAAGCGGAAUUCCUGGUGUAGCGGUGAAAUGCGUAGAGAUCAGGAGGAACAUCGGUGGCGAAGGCGGCUUACUGGGCUUUUACUGACGCUGAGGCUCGAAAGCGUGGGGAGCAAACAG